GAACAAGUUGCAUGUGUUAGUUCCCUUGGCAAAAGUGGCAGUCUGUGAAUGGUGAAUAUUCAAGGUGGCACCAGGCUCAUCUAUGCUGAGACUGCCUUCAUCACAGAAGAUCCAAGGAUUUUAUUUGAAGCUUACAAAAUUUGUCUGAAAUGAAAGGGUAGAGAGGCCUGGAGCUGCGUAUUACUCUCCUGCCUAUUG
Cebus imitator (Panamanian white-faced capuchin) is the source of this 198-nucleotide long non-coding RNA. RefSeq lists it as uncharacterized. The transcript is spliced from 3 exons. NCBI's taxonomy places the organism in Eukaryota, Metazoa, Chordata, Mammalia, Primates, Cebidae. The record is from RefSeq and is a predicted model, not a curated record.